This is a long non-coding RNA of Dreissena polymorpha, 421 nucleotides long. RefSeq lists it as uncharacterized. The record is from RefSeq and is a predicted model, not a curated record. The transcript has 3 exons. Lineage: Eukaryota; Metazoa; Mollusca; Bivalvia; Myida; Dreissenidae.
AUUCGUCACACGUUGAAAGUUCAUCAAACUAACUCGACGAAUGUUGAGUGAAAGUACUUUUAUUGUUGGAUAACUUUUUACUAGCUUAUAACGUGCUAGUUACUUUAAGAUACCUUGCGAAAGGCGAUUUCUACAGUGAAGUCGGGGAUCUACAUGGGAUCAGCAGGAGUUCCGUGUCGAGAUCGAUUACUGUGGUGGUGGCAGCGCUUGAAAAAAAAUUGGACACAAUCCAUUUUCCAAUAACAGCUGAAGACUUCAGAAGAGUCAAAACUGUUUUUUUUAGGCUGGGAAAAAUUCCAAAUGUUAUUGGUGCUGUUGAUGGAACCUUAAUACCCAUAAUUGCACCAAGUGAGGCGGAGGAGGUGUAUGUAUGCCGGAAGGGCUACCAUGCUAUAAAUGUUCAAGCGGUCGUGGACCAUGA